This 252-nucleotide ribosomal RNA is filed under the name uncultured bacterium. RNAcentral describes it as "partial 16S rRNA". It matches the Rfam family "Bacterial small subunit ribosomal RNA", at positions 505 to 756 of the family's 1533-position model. The record is from RNAcentral.
GUGCCAGCAGCCGCGGUAAAACGUAGGGGGCGAGCGUUGUCCGGAAUUACUGGGCGUAAAGGGUGCGUAGGCGGCUUGAUAAGUCAUGUGUGAAAUACCACUGCUCAACGGAGGGAUUGCAUGUGAAACUGUCAAGCUUGAGUGAAGGAGAGGCAAGCGGAAUUCCUAGUGUAGCGGUGAAAUGCGUAGAUAUUAGGAGGAACACCAGUGGCGAAGGCGGCUUGCUGGACUUUAACUGACGCUGAGGCACGA